GACGAACGCUGGCGGCGUGCUUAACACAUGCAAGUCGAACGGACAGGCCCUGCUUUUGUGGGGUGCUCGAGUGGCGAACGGGGGAGUAACACGUGAGUAACCUGCCCUUGUCUUUGGGAUAACUUCAGGAAACUGGGGCUCAUACCGGAUAGGAGCUCUUGCUCCAUGGUGGGGGUUGGAAGGUUUCGGCGGUUGUGGAUGGAUUGGAGGCUUAUCAGCCUGUUGGUGGGGUAGGGGCUUACCAAGGCUUUGACGGGUAGCCGGCCUGAGAGGGUGACCGGCGACAUUGGGACUGAGAGACGGACCAGACUCCUACGGGAGGCAGCGGUGGGGAGUAUUGCACAAUGGGCCGAAGCCUGAUGCAGCAACGCCGCGUGCGGGAUGACGGCUUUCGGGUUGUAAACCGCUUUCGCCUGUGACGAAGCGUGAUUGACGGUAAUGGGUAAAGAAGCACCGGCUAACUACGUG
RNAcentral lists this ribosomal RNA (468 nucleotides) under uncultured bacterium. Its description in RNAcentral is "partial 16S ribosomal RNA". It matches the Rfam family "Bacterial small subunit ribosomal RNA", at positions 28 to 507 of the family's 1533-position model. The record is from RNAcentral.